UACGAAGGGGGCUAGCGUUGCUCGGAAUUACUGGGCGUAAAGGGCGCGUAGGCGGCCUUCUAAGUCAGACGUGAAAUCCCUCGGCUCAACCGAGGAACUGCGUCUGAUACUGGAAGGCUUGAAUCCGGGAGAGGGAUGUGGAAUUCCAGGUGUAGCGGUGAAAUGCGCAGAUAUCAGGAGGAACACCGGUGGCGAAGGCGGAUCUCUGGGCCUUACCUGACGCUCAGGCGCGAAAGCUAGGGGAGCGAACUGG
RNAcentral lists this ribosomal RNA (253 nucleotides) under uncultured bacterium. RNAcentral describes it as "partial 16S ribosomal RNA". It matches the Rfam family "Bacterial small subunit ribosomal RNA", at positions 524 to 776 of the family's 1533-position model. The record is from RNAcentral.